Molecule: ribosomal RNA, 253 nt
Filed under: uncultured bacterium
Lineage: Bacteria
Description: partial 16S ribosomal RNA
Rfam family: Bacterial small subunit ribosomal RNA
Source: RNAcentral
UACGAAGGGGGCUAGCGUUGCCCGGAAUCACUGGGCGUAAAGGGUGCGUAGGCGGGGUUUUAAGUCAGGGGUGAAAUCCUGGAGCUCAACUCCAGAACUGCCUUUGAUACUGAAGAUCUUGAGUUCGGGAGAGGUGAGUGGAACUGCGAGUGUAGAGGUGAAAUUCGUAGAUAUUCGGAAGAACACCAGUGGCGAAGGCGGCUCACUGGCCCGAUACUGACGCUGAGGCACGAAAGCGUGGGGAGCAAACAGG